RNAcentral lists this ribosomal RNA (776 nucleotides) under uncultured Neocallimastigales. Its description in RNAcentral is "partial large subunit ribosomal RNA". It matches the Rfam family "Eukaryotic large subunit ribosomal RNA", at positions 22 to 635 of the family's 3401-position model. Lineage: Eukaryota; Fungi; Neocallimastigomycota; Neocallimastigomycetes; Neocallimastigales. The record is from RNAcentral.
CUAUACAUGACUCUGCGCAUAUCAAUAAGCGGAGGAAAAGAAACUAACAAGGAUUCCCCUAGUAACGGCGAGUGAAGCGGGAAGAGCUCAAAUUUGAAAUCUUGAAGGGUUUCCCCUUACGAAUUGUAGUUUAAAGAAGUGUUUUCUGUUGAUGGUUUUGGUAAAAGUUCUUUGGAAUAGGACAUCAUAGAGGGUGAGAAUCCCGUAUUUGACCUUUACUUUCAACUUUGUGAUACACUUUCAAAGAGUCGGAUUGUUUGGGAAUGCAGUCCAAAAUGGGUGGUAAAUUUCAUCUAAAGCUAAAUAUUGGCGAGAGACCGAUAGCGAACAAGUACCGUGAGGGAAAGAUGAAAAGAACUUUGAAAAGAGAGUUAAACAGUACGUGAAAUUGUCAAAAGGGAAGCGUUUGACACCAGUGUUGUUUUUCUGAAAAUCAAUUAAAGAACUGUUUAUGCUAAGCUGUUUAGACUUUAUCAGCUAAUCUGUUUAGUUUUGAGCUUUUCUUUAAUGCACUUUUCAGUUAACAAGUCAACAUCAAUUUCUUUUGCUGUAAAAAAGCUUGAGGAAGGUGGCUUGAGAUUCGUCUUAAGUGUUUAUAGCCUCUUGCCUAUGCAGUCGGAGAGAUUGAGGUCUGCAGCGUAGAUCCUUCGGGGCUAAAUGCAUUUGUGCUAAGUUAUAGCAUUUUAUAGACAACUUGUUGACUAUGAUUUGUCUUGUAGCUUACUCGCUUAUGUUAUUUUACCUACGCUUAGGAUGUUGAUCUACAGAGCGAGAGU